GCUGGCGGCGUGCCUAACACAUGCAAGUCGAACGAAGCUUGAUUUCUGAUUUUUUCGGAAUGACGAAUGAUAUGACUGAGUGGCGGACGGGUGAGUAACGCGUGAGCAACCUGCCCUUCGGAACGGGAUAGUGUCUGGAAACGGACAGUAAUACCGUAUAACAUAUAUUGAUCGCAUGGUCGAUAUAUCAAAACUGAGGUGCCGAAGGAUGGGCUCGCGUCUGAUUAGAUAGUUGGUGGGGUAACGGCCUACCAAGUCGACAAUCAGUAGCCGGACUGAGAGGUUGAACGGCCACAUUGGGACUGAGACACGGCCCAGACUCCUACGGGAGGCAGCAGUGGGGAAUAUUGCACAAUGGGGGAAACCCUGAUGCAGCAACGCCGCGUGAAAGAAGACGGUUUUCGGAUUGUAAACUUCUGUUCUUAGUGAAGAAUAAUGACGGUAGCUAAGGAGCAAGCCACGGCUAACUACGUGCCAGCAGCCGCGGUAAUACGUAGGUGGCAAGCGUUGUCCGGAAUUACUGGGUGUAAAGGGAGCGUAGGCGGGAUGCCAAGUCAGCUGUGAAAACUAUGGGCUUAACUUGUAGACUGCAGUUGAAACUGGUAUUCUUGAGUGAAGUAGAGGUUGGCGGAAUUCCGAGUGUAGCGGUGAAAUGCGUAGAUAUUCGGAGGAACACCGGUGGCGAAGGCGGCCAACUGGGCUUUAACUGACGCUGAGGCUCGAAAGUGUGGGGAGCAAGAAGGAUUAGAUACCCUGGUAGUCCACACUGUAAACGA
This 776-nucleotide ribosomal RNA is filed under the name uncultured bacterium. RNAcentral describes it as "bacterial SSU rRNA". It matches the Rfam family "Bacterial small subunit ribosomal RNA", at positions 35 to 809 of the family's 1533-position model. The record is from RNAcentral.